This 380-nucleotide ribosomal RNA is filed under the name uncultured Pseudomonas sp. Its description in RNAcentral is "bacterial SSU rRNA". It matches the Rfam family "Bacterial small subunit ribosomal RNA", at positions 1002 to 1382 of the family's 1533-position model. Lineage: Bacteria; Pseudomonadati; Pseudomonadota; Gammaproteobacteria; Pseudomonadales; Pseudomonadaceae. The record is from RNAcentral.
AGAGAUGGAUUGGUGCCUUCGGGAACUCUGACACAGGUGCUGCAUGGCUGUCGUCAGCUUGUGUCGUGAGAUGUUGGGUUAAGGUCCGUAACGAGCGCAACCCUGUCCUUAGUUACCAGCACGUUAUGGUGGGCACUCUAAGGAGACUGCCGGUGACAAACCGGAGGAAGGUGGGGAUGACGUCAAGUCAUCAUGGCCCUUACGGCCUGGGCUACACACGUGCUACAAUGGUCGGUACAAAGGGUUGCCAAGCCGCGAGGUGGAGCUAAUCCCAUAAAACCGAUCGUAGUCCGGAUCGCAGUCUGCAACUCGACUGCGUGAAGUCGGAAUCGCUAGUAAUCGUGAAUCAGAAUGUCACGGUGAAUACGUUCCCGGGCCUU